This 520-nucleotide unclassified non-coding RNA is filed under the name uncultured Glomus. RNAcentral describes it as "SSU rRNA". It matches the Rfam family "Eukaryotic small subunit ribosomal RNA", at positions 569 to 1090 of the family's 1831-position model. Lineage: Eukaryota; Fungi; Glomeromycota; Glomeromycetes; Glomerales; Glomeraceae. The record is from RNAcentral.
AGCAGCCGCGGUAAUUCCAGCUCCAAUAGCGUAUAUUAAAGUUGUUGCAGUUAAAAAGCUCGUAGUUGAAUUUCGGGAUUAAUAUGUUGGUCGUGCCUUGGUACGUACUGGCGUCAUUGAUUUCUACCUUCUGAAGAACCUCGAUGUCAUUAAUUUGGUGUCUUGGGGAAUCAGGACUGUUACUUUGAAAAAAUUAGAGUGUUUAAAGCAAGCUCACGCUUGAAUACAUUAGCAUGGAAUAAUGAAAUAGGACGUUUGAUUCUAUUUUGUUGGUUUCUAGGAUCGACGUAAUGAUUAAUAGGGAUAGUUGGGGGCAUUAGUAUUCAAUUGUCAGAGGUGAAAUUCUUGGAUUUAUUGAAGACUAACUACUGCGAAAGCAUUUGCCAAGGAUGUUUUCAUUAAUCAAGAGCGAAAGUUAGGGGAUCGAAGAACGAUCAGAUACCGUCGUAGUCUUAACCAUAAACUAUGCCGACUAGGGAUCGGAUGAUGUUAAUUUUUUAAUGACUCAUUCGGCGCCUUA